AUGUGAUCGUCUCUCGCAUAUCAAUAAGCGGAGGAAAAGAAACUAACAAGGAUUCCCCUAGUAACGGCGAGUGAAGCGGGAAGAGCUCAAAUUUGAAAUCUUAAAGGGUUUCCCUUUACGAAUUGUAGGUUUAAAGAAGUGUUUUCUGUUGAGGUUUUGGUAAAAGUUCUUUGGAAUAGGACAUCAUAGAGGGUGAGAAUCCCGUAUUUGACCUUUACUUUCAACUUUGUGAUACACUUUCAAAGAGUCGGAUUGUUUGGGAAUGCAGUCCAAAAUGGGUGGUAAAUUUCAUCUAAAGCUAAAUAUUGGCGAGAGACCGAUAGCGAACAAGUACCGUGAGGGAAAGAUGAAAAGAACUUUGAAAAGAGAGUUAAACAGUACGUGAAAUUGUCAAAAGGGAAGCGUUUGACACCAGUGUUGUUUUUCUGAAAAUCAAUUAAAGAACUGUUUAUGCUAAGUUGUUUAGACUUUAUCAGCUAACUGUUUAGUUUUGAGCUUUUCUUUAAUGCACUUUUCAGUUAACAAGUCAACAUCAAUUUCUUUUGCUGUAAAAAAGCUUGAGGAAGGUGGCUUGAGAUUCGUCUUAAGUGUUUAUAGCCUCUUGCCUAUGCAGUCGGAGAGAUUGAGGUCUGCAGCGUAGAUCCUUCGGGGCUAAAUGCAUUUGUGCUAAGUUAUAGCAUUUUAUAGACAACUUGUUGACUAUGAUUUGUCUUGUAGCUUACUCGCUUAUGUUAUUUUACCUACGCUUAGGAUGUGAUCUGUAGUGCGUGCGC
This 773-nucleotide ribosomal RNA is filed under the name uncultured Neocallimastigales. RNAcentral describes it as "partial large subunit ribosomal RNA". It matches the Rfam family "Eukaryotic large subunit ribosomal RNA", at positions 24 to 606 of the family's 3401-position model. The record is from RNAcentral. Lineage: Eukaryota; Fungi; Neocallimastigomycota; Neocallimastigomycetes; Neocallimastigales.